This 253-nucleotide ribosomal RNA is filed under the name uncultured bacterium. RNAcentral describes it as "partial 16S ribosomal RNA". It matches the Rfam family "Bacterial small subunit ribosomal RNA", at positions 524 to 776 of the family's 1533-position model. The record is from RNAcentral.
UACGCAGGGGGCUAGCGUUGCUCGGAAUCACUGGGCGUAAAGCGCACGUAGGCGGCUUUCUAAGUCAGGGGUGAAAUCCUGGAGCUCAACUCCAGAACUGCCUUUGAUACUGGAGAGCUUGAGUCCGGGAGAGGUGAGUGGAACUCCGAGUGUAGAGGUGAAAUUCGUAGAUAUUCGGAAGAACACCAGUGGCGAAGGCGGCUCACUGGCCCGGUACUGACGCUGAGGUGCGAAAGCGUGGGGAGCAAACAGG